This is a long non-coding RNA of Canis lupus familiaris (dog), 1005 nucleotides long. RefSeq lists it as uncharacterized. The transcript has 6 exons. Lineage: Eukaryota; Metazoa; Chordata; Mammalia; Carnivora; Canidae. The record is from RefSeq and is a predicted model, not a curated record.
CAAAGACAGCCACGUGAUAGUGAGGAGGGGUUAGGACUUUAACAUAUAAAUUGUAGGGGGACACAAACAUUAAAUUCAGAGCAUUAGAAUCAGGAAACAAUGGCCUGAACCUGUGAGAGCUGAAUUGCCAAAUUAUCUCCCUCAAAGAAGAGCAAAGGAAAUAUCCCAGUAAAAGCCUUAAGUUGUAAAUAAUGCAGAGCAGUGCUUUCUCAAACUUUAGCAUGCAUAAGCAUCACCUAGAGAGCCUGUUUAGAUGUAUAGUUUAGCUGUGAAAUUGGCUCUCAAAUUACCUGUGAACAGAGCAGAAAGGAAAACAUGCUGGUUGUACACUUUUCAUUGUCCAUAAGAAAUUUGAUAUAAAUCCCUUAGGGGAGCUAAGUUUUUGCCAUUGAUUAAUUCUAAAAUAAAUGUAUCAUCUCUAUGAUAAUGAGAAUAAGUGAAUGAUGCUUGGAACAAAAUCCUGACAGUGUACAAUAGAGUGAUCCAACACUUCCAUACAACACCCUGUGCUCAUCACCAUAGGUUCCUGAUCCUGACCCCUACCAUGCAGAGAAAGCCAGCCCUGGGUCUCCUGUGAUAUCAGGCAGGCUACCUGCAGUGGCAAUACCUGAUUUGUCACUGGGAAGCACAUGAUAAAGCUAAGAGACUUGUUAGCCUGGGUGACUGUAUGGAACACUCCCUUCCUCAGCUUCCUGGGAAUGGCACUAAACUGGUAUAUGGGAUCUUCCUCCACAACUAUCUACUGUCACACAUAUAAAGAACAAGUCGGCUGCCAGUGGAUUAAUAAAUGUACACCAACAUAGGCAUGAUAUAUUGAUCAGCACUCAAUUCAAGAAGCUGUUGUGGGAGGGGCAGAAAAAAAUCACCAGAAGUAGAUCUUCUUCUAUGUCGGCAUGGAACGAAGUUUGAUGGAUUCUUACUUUGAGUGGAAGAAUCAGAGACAAACAUCAAGAAGUUAAUUUGCGAAACACUCUGGUUUAUCAUCUAACAUAAUAGUUUUUUAAA